GACGAACGCUGGCGGCGUGCCUAAUACAUGCAAGUAGAACGCUGAAGGAGGAGCUUGCUUCUCUGGAUGAGUUGCGAACGGGUGAGUAACGCGUAGGUAACCUGCCGGUAGCGGGGGAUAACUAUUGGAAACGAUAGCUAAUACCGCAUAAUAGUAGAUGUUGCAUGACAUUUGCUUAAAAGGUGCAAUUGCAUCACUACCAGAUGGACCUGCGUUGUAUUAGCUAGUUGGUGGGGUAACGGCUCACCAAGGCGACGAUACAUAGCCGACCUGAGAGGGUGAUCGGCCACACUGGGACUGAGACACGGCCCAGACUCCUACGGGAGGCAGCAGUAGGGAAUCUUCGGCAAUGGACGGAAGUCUGACCGAGCAACGCCGCGUGAGUGAAGAAGGUUUUCGGAUCGUAAAGCUCUGUUGUAAGAGAAGAACGAGUGUGAGAGUGGAAAGUUCACACUGUGACGGUAUCUUACCAGAAAGGGACGGCUAACUACGUG
Molecule: ribosomal RNA, 494 nt
Filed under: uncultured bacterium
Lineage: Bacteria
Description: partial 16S ribosomal RNA
Rfam family: Bacterial small subunit ribosomal RNA
Source: RNAcentral